RNAcentral lists this ribosomal RNA (111 nucleotides) under Neotoma lepida (desert woodrat). The record is from RNAcentral. Lineage: Eukaryota; Metazoa; Chordata; Mammalia; Rodentia; Cricetidae.
GUCUAUGGCCAUACCACCCUGAACGUGCCCAAUCUUGUCUGAUCUUGGAAGCUAAGCAGGGUUGGCUUCGUUAGUACUUAGAUGGGAAGAAAUACACUUUAAUGAUUGACC